CCUACGUGCGGCAGCAGUGAGGAAUAUUGGUCAAUGGGCGCGAGCCUGAACCAGCCAAGUAGCGUGAAGGAUGACUGCCCUACGGGUUGUAAACUUCUUUUAUAAAGGAAUAAAGUGAGGCACGUGUGCCUUUUUGUAUGUACUUUAUGAAUAAGGAUCGGCUAACUCCGUGCCAGCAGCCGCGGUAAUACGGAGGAUCCGAGCGUUAUCCGGAUUUAUUGGGUUUAACGGGAGCGUAGAUGGGUUGUUAAGUCAGUUGUGAAAGUUUGCGGCUCAACCGUAAAAUUGCAAUUGAUACUGGCAGUCUUGAGUGCAGUUGAGGUAGGCGGAAUUCGUGGUGUAGCGGUGAAAUGCUUAGAUAUCACGAAGAACUCCGAUUGCGAAGGCAGCUUACUAAACUGCCACUGACAUUGAUGCUCGAAAGUGUGGGUAUCAAACAGGAUUAGAUACCCUUGUAGUC
This 460-nucleotide ribosomal RNA is filed under the name uncultured bacterium. RNAcentral describes it as "partial 16S ribosomal RNA". It matches the Rfam family "Bacterial small subunit ribosomal RNA", at positions 338 to 795 of the family's 1533-position model. The record is from RNAcentral.